RNAcentral lists this long non-coding RNA (2250 nucleotides) under Capsicum annuum. RNAcentral's name for it is "long non-coding RNA (CANN_LNC002261)". The record is from RNAcentral. Lineage: Eukaryota; Viridiplantae; Streptophyta; Magnoliopsida; Solanales; Solanaceae.
AUUCAAAAGCCCUAAGUACCUGUUCCAAAUUGUUAUCAGUAAAUUAAUUAAACAAUGCGUCUUUCUGUAUAAAGAUAGACGAAGAAGCAAACAGUUGUGAAAGUAAGUAAUCGAUACGUUAUGCUCUGCAAUUCACAUAAGAUCAUGCAAUCUGGACACUAAUAAUCUUGAAUAGUCACAUAAAAGAGCACGAAACUAAACUGCAACCAUCAGAUUCCAACUGUCAAUUCAAGAAUUUAUCAGCAUGUUUACCCAUGCUUCCCACUUAUCCAAACCCACUUUAAUAUUCUUCUUCUCUCCAACCAAAAUACUUCGUCUAAAUUCUUAUAAAAUUCUUUUGUUAAAGCAAUUCUUAAAAUUAUAGUACUUUGUUUGAUUUUCUAUUGAUCAAGCCAAUGUUAUAAUUCAGAUUUGUGUGUAAUGACUUUCAUUAUCAUUUUUCUUAUUUUCAUGUAUUUUUGAUUUCUAGAGUAUUUUUAUAACUGUCUCAAGUUAUUUAUGAUUUGAUGCUGGUUGGGACUGAUAGUUCAAUUUUAGAACAGUUCGUUUGAGAAUUUUGAUGAUAUCAAAUAUAUUGUGAAAUAUUUAAUCUAAAUUGACAUUUAAUAGAAAUAAAAUUUAUUAUCCUUCUAAAAUGUUUUUAAUAUGCAUAAAAUUCUUUAGUUAUGUUAUAUCUACAUUGCUUUAUAAAUAGUUGGAUACUCUAUUAAUAUUUUAAGUGGAAAUGAUGAAUUUAAAUAUGUUAAAAAUACUAUUAUUAUAUAAUAGAAGUUUUGUUAGAUAGUUCUUUGUUAAUUAUGAUAUAUUCUAAAUAUUAUAUUGAUUUUACCACAAACCAACAUAAUAUCCAAAUAUAUAUUUAUAUAAUUAGAUAAGAUUGGUGUUGAGGUGUCACCUUCCUUCCACAUGGGAUUAAAGGAAGGUACAACACAAUAUAUUAAUUAAUGUUAUUCUAAUUAGUGGACAUGCCUAGGAAUAUUAAGUUAAUUAUAUAAUACGUGUCCAUUUCAAGUUUUCCUUUUUUUCCUUUUGCUAUAUCUUACAGAAUAUCAUUAUUACUCCAUUUAGCAUCUGUAGCAUAAGGUCAAGUCUCAUUAAGGAUAUACUUCAACAUAUACAAAAGAAUGAAAAGUUAGGGAAGAGCUCUUAUGGCGUUUUAAUUAAUCUGCAAAAUAAAAUCAGAACAUCAAGUUGUUCAAGCUUCAGUUGUAGUAGAACACUAUACAAAGGCUUCUCGAAGAAAUUUUUAGCUUUGAGCAUCCAGGUAUGUUAGAUUUAUCUUAUUUUUAGAUUUUAUUAUUUACGGUAAUUGUGUGUUCUUAUGCUAGUCUUGUACAGGUGAUUGUAGUUUUUGUAUCAUUUGGUAUAGAUAUCAUGUCUUAAUUAUCUAAUUAGGAUCACGUUCCAGUAAAGUUCUAUUUAGUUAACUCUUAAUAUGAUGUGGUAUUUAAGUUGUGAAAUCUUGGAUUCAUCCUUAAUUAAGAAAGUUACUCGAAAGGUUAUUUAAAUAUAUUUUAACUAGGAUUUAUGGUCAACAUAUAUUAUAUUUAUGUCAUUUAUUGUUAAAUUUGGUAAUAUUGUGGCAUCGAUCACAGUAUGAUUUGGGUUUCAAUUUUACAGUUGGAUAUGAUUACUACAAGUUUCGGUUUGAGUUUGGCAUCUUGUUAUGAUAUUAUGUGGGAGUUCUGGUACUAAUUACAAUUGUUCUAGGAGUUGUGGCUCCUCAAAGUUUCGGUUUGAGUCCGGUAUUUGAUUAUGAGUUUUGUCGUAUAUCUUGUAGGUGGUCUCUCAUUAUUACCCACAAUGUUUUAUUUGAAUCCAGCAUAUAACCUCUUGUUAUUAUCCACCACUACCGGUUCAAUCUUGGUGUCUGGCCUCUCGUUACUACCCAUUGGUGUUGGUUUGAGCCUGUGCACAUCUGGAAGGCUAAUAUGGUUUCAUGGGAUUGAUUCAGCUAUGAAUUAUUUAUAUUUUUCUUUAAAAUUACUUCUUGUGUGUUCCACUAGCUUAUGGGGGCACGUUGGGUUAGUUUUCUUUUUUACUGUCUGGUGGGCUUAUGGGAACCAGUUAGUUAAUGUUUAGUUUGCCUUUUAUCAUUACAUUAUUUAUCUUUCUGUAUCACUUUUACUUAAGCCUUUAUUUCAUUUGUGUAGAUCGAUAGUUCUUUACUUUUCUAUCCCUAUUUAUUAUUGACUUAGAUUACAUGUGUGCGUUUUAGCUAGACUUUUUUUGUAUAGAGACUAGUCGGCG